RNAcentral lists this ribosomal RNA (2904 nucleotides) under Enterobacter sp. MGH 22. Its description in RNAcentral is "bacterial LSU rRNA". It matches the Rfam family "Bacterial large subunit ribosomal RNA". The record is from RNAcentral. Lineage: Bacteria; Pseudomonadati; Pseudomonadota; Gammaproteobacteria; Enterobacterales; Enterobacteriaceae.
UUAAGCGACUAAGCGUACACGGUGGAUGCCCUGGCAGUCAGAGGCGAUGAAGGACGUGCUAAUCUGCGAAAAGCGCCGGCGAGGUGAUAUGAACCUUUGACCCGGCGAUGUCCGAAUGGGGAAACCCAGUGUGAUUCGUCACACUAUCGUUAACUGAAUACAUAGGUUAACGAGGCGAACCGGGGGAACUGAAACAUCUAAGUACCCCGAGGAAAAGAAAUCAACCGAGAUUCCCCCAGUAGCGGCGAGCGAACGGGGAGCAGCCCGGAGUCUGAAUCAGCUUGUGUGUUAGUGGAACGGUCUGGAAAGUCCGACGGUACAGGGUGAUAGUCCCGUACACGAAAAUGCACAGGUUGUGAACUCGAAGAGUAGGGCGGGACACGUGGUAUCCUGUCUGAAUAUGGGGGGACCAUCCUCCAAGGCUAAAUACUCCUGACUGACCGAUAGUGAACCAGUACCGUGAGGGAAAGGCGAAAAGAACCCCGGCGAGGGGAGUGAAAAAGAACCUGAAACCGUGUACGUACAAGCAGUGGGAGCCUCUUUAUGGGGUGACUGCGUACCUUUUGUAUAAUGGGUCAGCGACUUAUAUUCUGUAGCAAGGUUAACCGAAUAGGGGAGCCGAAGGGAAACCGAGUCUUAACUGGGCGUUAAGUUGCAGGGUAUAGACCCGAAACCCGGUGAUCUAGCCAUGGGCAGGUUGAAGGUUGGGUAACACUAACUGGAGGACCGAACCGACUAAUGUUGAAAAAUUAGCGGAUGACCUGUGGCUGGGGGUGAAAGGCCAAUCAAACCGGGAGAUAGCUGGUUCUCCCCGAAAGCUAUUUAGGUAGCGCCUCGUGAACUCAUCUUCGGGGGUAGAGCACUGUUUCGGCUAGGGGGCCAUCCCGGCUUACCAACCCGAUGCAAACUACGAAUACCGAAGAAUGUUAUCACGGGAGACACACGGCGGGUGCUAACGUCCGUCGUGAAGAGGGAAACAACCCAGACCGCCAGCUAAGGUCCCAAAGUCAUGGUUAAGUGGGAAACGAUGUGGGAAGGCACAGACAGCCAGGAUGUUGGCUUAGAAGCAGCCAUCAUUUAAAGAAAGCGUAAUAGCUCACUGGUCGAGUCGGCCUGCGCGGAAGAUGUAACGGGGCUAAACCAUGCACCGAAGCUGCGGCAGCGACGCUUAUGCGUUGUUGGGUAGGGGAGCGUUCUGUAAGCCGUUGAAGGUGGCCUGUGAGGGUUGCUGGAGGUAUCAGAAGUGCGAAUGCUGACAUAAGUAACGAUAAAGCGGGUGAAAAGCCCGCUCGCCGGAAGACCAAGGGUUCCUGUCCAACGUUAAUCGGGGCAGGGUGAGUCGACCCCUAAGGCGAGGCCGAAAGGCGUAGUCGAUGGGAAACAGGUUAAUAUUCCUGUACUUGGUGUUACUGCGAAGGGGGGACGGAGAAGGCUAUGUUAGCCGGGCGACGGUUGUCCCGGUUUAAGCAUGUAGGCGGAGGUUCCAGGUAAAUCCGGUACCUUUUUAACGCUGAGGUGUGAUGACGAGGCACUACGGUGCUGAAGUAACAAAUGCCCUGCUUCCAGGAAAAGCCUCUAAGCAUCAGGUAACACGAAAUCGUACCCCAAACCGACACAGGUGGUCAGGUAGAGAAUACCAAGGCGCUUGAGAGAACUCGGGUGAAGGAACUAGGCAAAAUGGUGCCGUAACUUCGGGAGAAGGCACGCUGAUAUGUAGGUGAAGCCCCUGCGGGUGGAGCUGAAAUCAGUCGAAGAUACCAGCUGGCUGCAACUGUUUAUUAAAAACACAGCACUGUGCAAACACGAAAGUGGACGUAUACGGUGUGACGCCUGCCCGGUGCCGGAAGGUUAAUUGAUGGGGUUAGCGGCAACGCGAAGCUCUUGAUCGAAGCCCCGGUAAACGGCGGCCGUAACUAUAACGGUCCUAAGGUAGCGAAAUUCCUUGUCGGGUAAGUUCCGACCUGCACGAAUGGCGUAAUGAUGGCCAGGCUGUCUCCACCCGAGACUCAGUGAAAUUGAACUCGCUGUGAAGAUGCAGUGUACCCGCGGCAAGACGGAAAGACCCCGUGAACCUUUACUAUAGCUUGACACUGAACACUGGUCCUUGAUGUGUAGGAUAGGUGGGAGGCUUUGAAGCGUGGACGCCAGUCUGCGUGGAGCCGACCUUGAAAUACCACCCUUUAAUGGCUGGUGUUCUAACGUAGACCCGUAAUCCGGGUUGCGGACAGUGUCUGGUGGGUAGUUUGACUGGGGCGGUCUCCUCCCAAAGAGUAACGGAGGAGCACGAAGGUUAGCUAAUCCUGGUCGGACAUCAGGAGGUUAGUGCAAUGGCAUAAGCUAGCUUGACUGCGAGAGUGACGGCUCGAGCAGGUGCGAAAGCAGGUCAUAGUGAUCCGGUGGUUCUGAAUGGAAGGGCCAUCGCUCAACGGAUAAAAGGUACUCCGGGGAUAACAGGCUGAUACCGCCCAAGAGUUCAUAUCGACGGCGGUGUUUGGCACCUCGAUGUCGGCUCAUCACAUCCUGGGGCUGAAGUAGGUCCCAAGGGUAUGGCUGUUCGCCAUUUAAAGUGGUACGCGAGCUGGGUUUAGAACGUCGUGAGACAGUUCGGUCCCUAUCUGCCGUGGGCGCUGGAGAAUUGAGGGGGGCUGCUCCUAGUACGAGAGGACCGGAGUGGACGCAUCACUGGUGUUCGGGUUGUCAUGCCAAUGGCACUGCCCGGUAGCUAAAUGCGGAAGAGAUAAGUGCUGAAAGCAUCUAAGCACGAAACUUGCCCCGAGAUGAGUUCUCCCUGAGACUAUAAGUCUCCUGAAGGAACGUUGAAGACGACGACGUUGAUAGGUCGGGUGUGUAAGCGCAGCGAUGCGUUGAGCUAACCGAUACUAAUGAACCGUGAGGCUUAACCUU